UCGGGGAGGGGGAGCCGCGCAGGCUGGUGCGCCGCGCCCCCGGGCAAAGAGCCGCCCCCGGCUGCAGGCCCGCCGCGGGCAGAGCGACAGAGGCCUGCAGGGGAAGCCCCCAGUUUCCCACCACUUUAGCGCUGUUCGCUCCAGAGGGGGAAAAGUGAUGUUAGCCUUUAAAGGCGCUGGAAACAAGUUGUCAUCAGCCUUGGUUGGACAUUUCCUGCAGCUGUAAUAAAGCAAAAUGAAUUAAUUUCAUUCCUGAUAUGUUGCCAGACAUAAGGAGAUUGUUUAAAAAAAGAUUUAGGGCCAAGUUCAUUCCUAGUGUCCAAUCACUGACUCCCAAUUGUUUUUCUGUUGAGGCAUUUUACUGAACAUUUUUCUGUGAAUCCACAAAAAUGUGAUAUUGUGAAAGUAAGCUUGAGUAUAGAAUCAGUUGCCUUCUAGAAUGUUUACUUAUAGAAGAAUUGAAAAGGACACACAUCAUAUUGAUAUUCUUGAAAAGGACACACAUCAUAUUGAUAUUCCUAAUUUCCAAUAUAUAUGAACUCUAUAAAACCACCAUUUGGGAUAGUCCUGCCACUCUCAAUAAAAUAAAAAUAAAACAUUG
This is a long non-coding RNA of Dermochelys coriacea (leatherback sea turtle), 601 nucleotides long. RefSeq lists it as uncharacterized. Lineage: Eukaryota; Metazoa; Chordata; Testudines; Dermochelyidae. The transcript is spliced from 3 exons. The record is from RefSeq and is a predicted model, not a curated record.